AAAAAUGGGGAGUGGGCCCGGCUUGUCAGUGGCUCGGCUGCUCUCUUUCUCUCUCUCGUUCUUUUCCCCAUCGUCUUCUACCUCCGGCCAGGCAGCAACGAGGCGGUGCGGCUCCGCAGGGCGCGGCGGGUACGGGGCCGGGGCGGCACGGCGGCGGCCAGGGAAGGCGCGGAGGAACUCCGGAGACCCACCGGCUGCGGCGGCGGCGCUUGGAGGGACAGGGCGCAUGGCCGCCAUGGCUGCGCCAUAGCCAAGCUCGGCUGCAAGUGGCUAGGACGACAGGAAGGGUUUCCGACCAAAUUGAUGAGGGGGCCUCUGGGGUGGUCUGUCCACGAUGAUCCCGCCGGCGGCGGAACGGCGGCCGGGGCGGCACAGCUACGACGGCGCACAUCCCAAAUUGAAGGGGCCGGAGAGUUCUAUUCUACAAGAGGUUUCUUAGGGCGCGAGGAUUUACCAUGGAACGGACGGACGACGAAGGGCGAAGACGCGUGGUGCGGUGUGGACGAAGCAGAGGUGGCUAGCGGUCGGCGACGUUCGCAGGUGUUCGACGUGUGCUCCUCGGCGUCCAGUGGCUACCCGGCUUCCUCAAUGGCGACGGCGGCAGCAAGACUCCUCCCCCCACUCCCUCCAACCUCCAGCUCCGGCCGGGGAGCCCCGCAAUGUGAUCUCUAG
Molecule: long non-coding RNA, 672 nt
Filed under: Oryza sativa Indica Group (long-grained rice)
Lineage: Eukaryota; Viridiplantae; Streptophyta; Magnoliopsida; Poales; Poaceae
Description: lncRNA OsMH63_09G007650
Source: RNAcentral